This 226-nucleotide unclassified non-coding RNA is filed under the name rhizosphere metagenome. RNAcentral's name for it is "partial ribosomal RNA internal transcribed spacer region". The record is from RNAcentral.
GUAGGUGAACCUGCGGAAGGAUCAUUAGAGAAACAAGCCCCUCGGUGGGCGAUUCUCCACCCUGUGUUUACAUCACGCUGUUGCUUUGGCGGGCCGUAGGGCUGUCAGUCCUCCACUGGCCUGUGCUGGUGUGUGCCUGUCAGAGGAUAUUUUACAUUCUGUUUAUCAUUGUUGUCUGAGCAUUAUACAAUCGUUAAAACUUUCAACAACGGAUCUCUUGGUUCUG